CUGGACAUGAAAUGUUAUGGGAGUUAUGUCUAGCUUUGGAUCCACUGAAUUCACAUAUUACAGAAAUCAGAUCAGAGCAAAGCUGAUGGGUAACAAAGAAGUUGAUGUAGAGGGUCCCUCCAUUAAGUCUCUACAUAAUUAUCGAUGAAAAUGUUUCCUUCCUCCUACAAUUAUGCUAACAAAUCCAGAGAGGGAAUACUUCACACUGAUGCUAGUAUGAUGCUAGUAUGAAAACAAGAUUAUUCUGUGCCACAAACAAAUUGUUCAGAAAGGGGACAUUGGUGGAUUUGCAUUUUGGGUACAGUUCAAAGAAUUUUCAAUAUGAUGAUGGAAGAUCAGAGGGAGGACAAAUGGGAAAAGUUGACAGAGAAAGAAAAGAAUUAGGAAAUAUCUGGAAUAAAUAUGAAUGAGAAGGAUGUACUUAAUUUUGUCAGACUUUGACAUGCAAGGCUUUCUACAUUUAUAUGUAUACUGGAAUAUCAUUUUGAUUGUAAAAUCUCAUUCUAAUGUAUUCACAUUUUAUAUUUCAUGCUUUAUGCAUAAAUACAUAAACAUUUUUAUGAAAAACUAUAUAUAUGUAUAUAUGUAUCUUUGUUCGAUCGAGACAUCAUCCUUUGUGAUUUCAUACUCAUUUAUGUGUUAAAUAUGCUGUAGGUACAUGUAAUCUGA
This is a long non-coding RNA of Saccostrea echinata, 669 nucleotides long. RefSeq lists it as uncharacterized. Lineage: Eukaryota; Metazoa; Mollusca; Bivalvia; Ostreida; Ostreidae. The transcript has 3 exons. The record is from RefSeq and is a predicted model, not a curated record.